UGACAUCCCGAUGACGAGUGAGCAAAGUCACUUUCCCUUCGGGGCAUUGGAGACAGGUGGUGCAUGGUUGUCGUCAGCUCGUGUCGUGAGAUGUUGGGUUAAGUCCCGCAACGAGCGCAACCCCUAUUUCCAGUAGCCAGCAAGAAAGAUGGGAACUCUGGAGAGACUGCCCGGGAUAACUGGGAGGAAGGCGGGGAUGACGUCAAAUCAUCAUGCCCCUUAUGAUCAGGGCUACACACGUGCUACAAUGGCGUAAACAAAGGGAAGCGAAGUGGUGACACGAAGCAAAUCCGAAAAACAACGUCUCAGUUCGGAUUGUAGUCUGCAACUCGACUACAUGAAGCUGGAAUCGCUAGUAAUCGCGAAUCAGAAUGUCGCGGUGAAUACGUUCCCGGGUCUUGUACACACCGCCCGUCACACCAUGGGAGUCGGAAAUGCCCGAAGUCAGUGACCCAACCGAGAGGAGGGAGCUGCCGAAGGUGGAGCCGGUAACUG
Molecule: ribosomal RNA, 495 nt
Filed under: uncultured bacterium
Lineage: Bacteria
Description: bacterial SSU rRNA
Rfam family: Bacterial small subunit ribosomal RNA
Source: RNAcentral